AGCAGCCACCUUUUAAAACGCGUCAAAGCGUAACCUAAACCCCCCCCCAAAAUACCAUUAAUUUUCAUGAACCCCUAAUUUAUAAUGAAUGACUCCAUAUUUAUAUGGAAGACACCAUGCUAGGAUUAGUAACAAGAAUUUAUAAUUCUCCAAAAUGCAAAUAUAAACCAACAUGGAUAGACCAUUGGUAGUUACCGAACCUAAAUUUACUGCAAUAACACCCACAAGAAAACUCUGCAGUACUUACUCGUUAACCUAACACCAGCGCAUUACAGGAAAGAUUAAAAAAAAGAGAAGGAAUUCGGCAAAUGACGGCCCCGCCUGUUUACCAAAAACAUCGCCUCUUGACUUAUAAUAAGAGGUCCAGCCUGCCCAGUGAAUUUUAAACGGCCGCGGUAUCCUAACCGCGCGAAGGUAGCAUAAUCACUUGUUCUUUAAAUGGGGACUCGUAUCAACGGCAUCACGAGGGUUUUACUGUCUCCUCUUUUUGAUCAGUGAAAUUGAUCUUCCCGUGAAGAAGCGGGGAUAUUUUUAUAAGACGAGAAGACCCCAUGGAGCUUUAAACCAAAUAACAACUUAACUACUUAUCCCACAAUAAAUUUAAGCCCUGUUAUAAGGUUUUUGGUUGGGGUGACCGCGGAGUAAAGCACAUCCUCCACGACGGAAAGAACAUAAUCUUUAUUUAAGAACCACACUUCUAGAAAUUAGUAUACUAACGUUUACUGACCCGACAAUCGAUCAACGGACCAAGUUACCCUGGGGAUAACAGCGCAAUCUACUUCAAGAGCUCAUAUCGACAAGUAGGCUUACGACCUCGAUGUUGGAUCAGGGUAUCCCGGUGGUGCAGCCGCUACCGAAGGUUCGUUUGUUCAACGAUUAAAACCCUACGUGAUCUG
This 896-nucleotide ribosomal RNA is filed under the name Polypedates leucomystax (Java whipping frog). Its description in RNAcentral is "partial 16S ribosomal RNA". It matches the Rfam family "Bacterial large subunit ribosomal RNA", at positions 1111 to 2607 of the family's 2925-position model. The record is from RNAcentral. Lineage: Eukaryota; Metazoa; Chordata; Amphibia; Anura; Rhacophoridae.